GACGAACGCUGGCGGCGUGCUUAACACAUGCAAGUCGAGCGGUAAGGCCCUUCGGGUACACGAGCGGCGAACGGGUGAGUAACACGUGGGUGACCUGCCCUCAGCUCUGGGAUAAGCCCGGGAAACGUGGGUCUAAUACCGGAUAUGACCUUCUGCCGCAUGGUGGUUGGUGGAAAGCCAGUUACUAUUGUUUCUGGCGGCGUGGGGAGUGGGCCCGCGGCCUAUCAGCUUGUUGGUGGGGUGAUGGCCUACCAAGGUUUCGG
This 263-nucleotide ribosomal RNA is filed under the name uncultured bacterium. Its description in RNAcentral is "partial 16S ribosomal RNA". It matches the Rfam family "Bacterial small subunit ribosomal RNA", at positions 28 to 279 of the family's 1533-position model. The record is from RNAcentral.